CCAGACGGCUGGGCGGCCGCUGCUCUCAAUAUGAAGGUGGAGGAAAGUCCGGGCUCCACGGGAACACGGUGCCGGCUAACGGCCGGCGGGGGCGACCCUAGGGAAAGUGCCACAGAAAACAAACCGUCCGCUCAAGGGGGCUCACGCUCCCUCCUGCGGGCAAGGGUGAAACGGUGCGGCAAGAGCGCACCGCGCCUUCGGCAACGAAGGCGGCACGGUAAACCCCACCGGGAGCAAGACCGAAUAGGGGCGGCCGGCUGACCCGUCGCGAGACGGGAGAGGCGAGGGCGUUCCCGCCCCGCUGCCCGGGUUGGUCGCGCGAGACGCGCCGCGAGGCGCGUCCCAGAGGAAUGGCCGUCCCGCGCCGCCCCGAAAGGGCUCCUGCGCGGACAGAACCCGGCUUACAGGCCGUCUGGCACC
RNAcentral lists this RNase P RNA (420 nucleotides) under Pseudomonadota bacterium. RNAcentral's name for it is "RNase P RNA component class A". It matches the Rfam family "Bacterial RNase P class A". From Rfam's summary of the family: Ribonuclease P (RNase P) is a ubiquitous endoribonuclease, found in archaea, bacteria and eukarya as well as chloroplasts and mitochondria. The record is from RNAcentral. Lineage: Bacteria; Pseudomonadati; Pseudomonadota.